Molecule: ribosomal RNA, 253 nt
Filed under: uncultured bacterium
Lineage: Bacteria
Description: partial 16S ribosomal RNA
Rfam family: Bacterial small subunit ribosomal RNA
Source: RNAcentral
GACGGAAGGUGCAAGCGUUGCUCGGAAUCACUGGGCGUAAAGGGUGCGUAGGCGGCCGUGCAAGUCUGGCGUGAAAGCCCCGGGCUCAGCCCGGGAAGUGCGCUCGAAACUGCGCGGCUCGAGUGCCGGAGGGGAGAGUGGAAUUCCCGGUGUAGCGGUGAAAUGCGCAGAUAUCGGGAAGAACACCCGUGGCGAAGGCGGUUCUCUGGGACGGUACUGACGCUGAGACGCGAAAGCGUGGGGAGCGAACAGG